RNAcentral lists this long non-coding RNA (661 nucleotides) under Manacus vitellinus (golden-collared manakin). RNAcentral describes it as "lncRNA (ENSMVIG00005002481.1)". Lineage: Eukaryota; Metazoa; Chordata; Aves; Passeriformes; Pipridae. The record is from RNAcentral.
UGUCAUAGAGGCAACAUAAACCCCAAAGGAUUUGUUGAGACUUUAUGAAAUAACAACAUCCAACCAAGAAACUCAAGGCUCUUUACAAGUAUUCCUGAAUUAAGCUGAUGAGCAGAGCUGGUUGCUGCUUCAUUGCUUUUCCUGCCACUAGUGGAUGAUUCUGCUGUUCCUGUGUUUAAGAAAGACCUCUCCCUUAAGUGAGACCAUGAGCAAUGACCACACUUCAGAAAAGCAGGAGAUCCUCACAUACUGUGGAAAAAUACAAGAGUGUCAAUAAUGGAUCUGAACAUGAUCUGCCAGCAAGCUGGAUGAAUUGUGUGAUUGUCACAUCCACUGAAUGUUCUGGAGCAUCCCUGACAAGGUAGGAAUAUGUACAGAUUUUAUGAUCUGAUUGCCACCUUCCUGCAGUGUAAUUCACCACCACAGCUGUGGAUAAAUACUGCAGGAAAGAUACCAUGAAAGGUAAAGUAUACAGGUUUAAAGCUUCCAACAGCUACAGCCAGGCAUUAAUAAUGUAAUUUGUGUCAGCCCAUAGGGGCCUGUAGCAAGGGAAUUAGGACACCUGGCCACAGAGCCAGAGUCAUGAGCACAGGUUGUUCUUCAAAUGUGUGCUGGCAGUGGUUCCCAAGGGAUCCUGCUUUAAAUGAAGGCUUAGUCACAC